RNAcentral lists this transfer RNA (86 nucleotides) under Halobacteriovorax marinus. Its description in RNAcentral is "tRNA-Leu". It matches the Rfam family "tRNA". From Rfam's summary of the family: Transfer RNA (tRNA) molecules are approximately 80 nucleotides in length. Lineage: Bacteria; Pseudomonadati; Bdellovibrionota; Bacteriovoracia; Bacteriovoracales; Halobacteriovoraceae. The record is from RNAcentral.
GGCCCGGUGGCGGAAUGGUAGACGCAGCGGAUUCAAAAUCCGCCGAUGGCAACAUUGUGCGAGUUCAAGUCUCGCCCGGGCCACCA